UUGAAAUUUUAGUUUAAUUUGUUAUCAUUGAAUAAAAAUUGGUAAUUAUGUCCCUUAGUAUCUGUUCACCUUUGCAAUUUGAUAAAUCAUCAUGUUCACCCUAUCUGCUAUAUUUUUUGUAGGAGAGAACAAAAAGCUAUUAUUCAUGUUAGAAAUAAUAAGGAAAAAGAAAUUAAAGGAAGAAAAACUCUCAAAUUAGGGGCAUUAAAGGAGGAAAAAUGAACAAAUAUUAAAUAGGUUAGCUCUGCAAAGAAAGAAUAAUCAUUAUAUUGUCUUUUCUCUGUGACUGAACCAUAGAAUGUCACUUAUUUGGAGAUCUACAGAGGAAUUACAUGCAAUCAAGUUCCAAUAAUUUCCAAGUUCCAAUAAUGUCCACCAGUAUCUAUUUCCCUAUGUGCUAUAUCAUUUUUUAUUUCAUUGACCCCUGAUUCUACUGAUCUCCAUUUCAAUGAUAAGAACUUAAGAAUCAGUAAAUAACUUUGUUGUCUCUGUUAUUUUUUUUAUAAGACUAUGCUGCUGCAACAAUGUGAUGGAUGAGAUCCCCAUUUCUUGUUUAUUCAAGAAACUAGCCAACUUGUUGCUUUGACAAAAUUCUCCAUCUCACAUACAAGAUGAUAGUUUCCACCACUUUGUAAUUCAUUUCCAAACCCCCACUCCAUGUGACUCUUCCUUCUAUAGAUAGAUCUAUACCAUAUUUCAUAAAAUUACCAUCCUCCUAAGAUUGUCUUUUUCCAACAAAAAAUUCCAACUUUCCAACAAAAACUUGGUAAGAGAUUUCUCACUGCUAGUUUUAUCACAACCCAUAUCACUUAAGAAAAUUUACACUCUUCUUCCUCAUUACUUCACAUCUUUGUUGAAUAUUCUUUAUCCUUAGGGAAAUUGUGCAAGGAAUGGGUAAGAGGAAUAUAAACUAGAUGUUUUGUUAAGUCCUCUACCCUUGGAAAAUGUCCUCUCCACCUACUAGUUUCUUCUCAAAUUUCUCCAGAAUUCAACCUUAGUGACUCAUGUUUGAACUUGGCCUGCAAAAGGAGGUUUAGGUAUAUCAAAGGAAGGUUUAGUUAUAUCAAAAAGAGAUGAAAAUCACUUGCGUAAUAACUUUGCAUUUGAUGUAAUAACAUAUUAAAUCAUUGGCAGUCUGGAUUUAAUAUCAUCUAUUUUUGUUUCAUUUUUUUUCCCAUCAAAUUUAUGCUCUUCUAUUGGUGACCUGCAUUUGCUUUGUUGUAGGGAAAGAAGUCGCUCUAUG
RNAcentral lists this unclassified non-coding RNA (1243 nucleotides) under Hevea brasiliensis (rubber tree). The record is from RNAcentral. Lineage: Eukaryota; Viridiplantae; Streptophyta; Magnoliopsida; Malpighiales; Euphorbiaceae.